RNAcentral lists this ribosomal RNA (487 nucleotides) under uncultured bacterium. RNAcentral describes it as "bacterial SSU rRNA". It matches the Rfam family "Bacterial small subunit ribosomal RNA", at positions 28 to 511 of the family's 1533-position model. The record is from RNAcentral.
GAUGAACGCUAGCGGCAGGCUUAAUACAUGCAAGUCGUGGGGCAGCAUGAGUAGCAAUACUUGAUGGCGACCGGCAAACGGGUGAGGAACACGUACACAACCUUCCUUCAAGUGGGGAAUAGCCCAGAGAAAUUUGGAUUAAUACCCCAUAAUAUAUUUGAUAAGGCAUCUUAUUAAUAUUAAAGCUUCGGCACUUGAUGAUGGGUGUGCGGCUGAUUAGAUAGUUGGCGGGUAACGGCCCACCAAGUCUACGAUCAGUAGCUGAUGUGAGAGCAUGAUCAGCCACACGGGCACUGAGACACGGGCCCGACUCCUACGGGAGGCAGCAGUAAGGAAUAUUGGACAAUGGACGAAAGUCUGAUCAGCCAUGCCGCGUGAAGGAUUAAGGUCCUCUGGAUUGUAAACUUCUUUUAUAUGGGACGAAAAAGGGCAUUUCUUGUUCACUUGACGGUACCAUAUGAAUAAGCACCGGCUAACUCCGUGCCAG